Molecule: long non-coding RNA, 276 nt
Filed under: Setaria viridis
Lineage: Eukaryota; Viridiplantae; Streptophyta; Magnoliopsida; Poales; Poaceae
Description: long non-coding RNA (SVIR_LNC000638)
Source: RNAcentral
UCGGGGGAAGGUAAUGCUUACCAUUAGGUAGUUCUUGCGGGUGGAACUCUGGCCUAAUUUGAAGGUCAACUAGAUCCUUACAUGAUUUUAGUCCAUCAUUUGCCUUACCUGAUAAGCCCAAGAAUCCGAUGGUGCUAUCGAACACAUUCUUCUGAAGAUACAUCACAUCAAUGGCAUGGCGCACCGCCAGCUCUCGCCAGUGUGGCAAAUACUGAAAGAAGAUAUACAUCUUCUUAAACAGCACAUCUGUGACAUCUUUUGUUUCAGUCGGCUUCC